This is an RNA transcript of Ctenopharyngodon idella (grass carp), 6035 nucleotides long. It is a transcript of the gene named amyloid-beta A4 protein-like, with no coding region annotated. The transcript has 18 exons. Lineage: Eukaryota; Metazoa; Chordata; Actinopteri; Cypriniformes; Xenocyprididae. The record is from RefSeq and is a predicted model, not a curated record.
CGCGCUGUUCUGACUCGCCAUCGCAGGCGCAUCGCAUUCUUCUGGGAGUCGACGCGAGCCGCACACCGACAUUUUACACCAAACGGAUAUUUACUCGAUAAAACCAGCGCUGUUUGUUGGAAACACAGAGAAAAGAGGAGCAGAAUGGGGUGUCGAGAGGUUUUCAUAUUACUAAUGGUCGCGACGUCGACGCUCGCUGUGGAGGUGCCGUCAGACUCCGGUACCGGACUGCUGGCCGAGCCGCAGGUCGCCAUGUUCUGCGGGAAACUCAACAUGCACAUCAACGUUCAGACCGGAAAAUGGGAACCCGAUCCAUCUGGAACCAAGAGCUGCAUCGGAACAAAAGAGGGAAUCCUGCAGUACUGCCAGGAGGUGUAUCCAGAGCUUCAGAUCACGAAUGUGGUGGAGGCCAAUCAGCCCGUCAGUAUCUGGGACUGGUGCAAGAAGGGCCGCAAGCAGUGCCGCAGUCACAUGCACAUCGUGGUGCCCUACCGCUGCCUGGUGGGUGAGUUCGUGAGCGACGCUCUGCUGGUUCCUGACAAGUGUAAGUUCCUGCACCAGGAGCGCAUGGACAUGUGUGAGAGUCACCUGCACUGGCACACCGUCGCCAAAGAGUCUUGCGGUGACCGUAGCAUGAAUCUCCAUGACUACGGGAUGCUGUUGCCGUGUGGUAUCGACCGUUUCCGUGGCGUUGAGUUCGUCUGCUGCCCUGCGGAAGCGGAGAAGGAGUCGGACAGCGCUGCCGUGGAGGAGGAUGAUUCUGAUGUGUGGUGGGGAGGAGCGGAGGCCGACUACAGCGAGAACAGCAUGACUCGAGAUGCAGACGCUGAACCCGCUGUUGUAGAGGAUGACGAGGAUCCGGAUGAGGAAGUGGACGAGGCUGUGGACAACGACCAGGAUGGAGACGGAGACGAGGAUGAGAGGGAGGACGAAGAUGACGAGGUCAUCGACGAGCGCCGCGACAUCAGCCAGAGCACAAGCGUUGCCAUGACGACAACCACGACCACAACAACCGAGUCGGUGGAGGAGGUGGUGCGAGAGGUGUGUUUUGCAAGCGCAGAGACGGGCCCCUGCAGGGCCAUGUUGCCCCGCUGGUACUUUGUGCGUGAGGAGGGCCGCUGUGCGCCCUUCAUCUAUGGAGGCUGCGGAGGAAACCGCAAUAACUUUGAGUCGGAGGAGUACUGUCUGUCUGUCUGCAGCAGCGUGUUGCCGACUCCCUCCUCCAGCCCUCCGGACGCAGUGGACCGAUACCUGGAGACGCCAGCGGACGAGAACGAACACACUCAUUUCCUGAAGGCCAAAGAGAGUCUGGAGGCCAAACACCGCGAGCGCAUGUCUCAGGUGAUGAGGGAAUGGGAAGAGGCCGAGAGACAGGCGAAGAGUUUACCGCGCAAUGACAAGAAGGCCGUGAUCCAGCACUUCCAGGAGAAGGUGGAGGCGCUGGAGCAGGAGGCGGCCAGCGAGCGUCAGCAGCUGGUGGAGACGCACAUGGCUCGCGUGGAGGCGUUGCUGAAUGACCGCCGGCGUCUGGCCCUCGAGAGCUACCUGUCUGCCCUGCAGGCCGAUCCGCCCCGGCCGCGGCAUGUGUUCAGCCUGCUGAAGAAGUACGUGCGCGCCGAGCAGAAGGACCGGCAGCACACGCUCAAACACUUCGAACACGUGCGCAUGGUCGACCCCAAGAAGGCUGCGCAGAUUCGGCCGCAGGUGCUGACCCAUCUGCGUGUGAUCGAGGAGCGGAUGAAUCAGUCUCUCGGGCUGCUGUACAAGGUGCCGGGAGUCGCUGAUGAUAUCCAGGACCAAGUCGAGCUGUUGCAGCGCGAGCAGCAGGAGAUGUCAGCUCAGCUGGCGAACCUGCAGAGCGACGUGCGGGUCAGUUACGGUAACGACGCCCUGAUGCCCGACAGCACCGCCAGCCUGGACCUGCUGCCCGCUGAAGACACGCAGGGCUUCGGCUUCAUUCACCCCGAGAGCUUCAACCAGCCCAACACACAGAACGAGGUUGAGCUGGUCGAUGCCCGACCUGUCGCAGACCGAGGCCUCCCGACCCGACCAGUGUCUGGACUGAAGCCUGACGAUGUUCCUGAGCUGCGGAUGGAAGCCGAAGAGAGACACAGCGAAGUUUACCACCAGAAACUGGUUUUCUUUGCGGAGGAUGUGAGCUCCAAUAAAGGAGCUAUUAUUGGCCUGAUGGUCGGAGGAGUUGUCAUAGCAACCAUCAUCGUCAUCACCCUGGUGAUGCUGAGGAAGAAGCAGUACACGUCCAUCCACCACGGAAUCAUUGAGGUGGACGCUGCCGUGACCCCGGAGGAACGUCACCUGUCCAAGAUGCAGCAGAACGGCUAUGAAAACCCCACCUACAAGUUCUUCGAGCAGAUCCACAACUGAUGGCGUAACGCCUCCCCCCUCACCCUCACCCUCCCCGUACCCUCAUCUCCAGACGCUGCAGAAGACACCAGCCGAAUCUCACCGCGUCAUAAACAUCACGUCUGUUAUUGGCCAGUUUCUGUGAUUGUCAAUCAAAAGACGACCUCCCACUGGCUGGAUGAACAUUCACAUGAUCAGAUUAGUUCUGUUGGGGUCAGUUUCAGGUUGUUGAAGAUUCUGUUUCAGAUUGAAUGCACAAUUCAAAUCACAAAUCGAACUGAACGCAUAUUUCAAAUUCAAUUCACAUCAAAUUGAACAAUUCAAAUGAAUUUCAAAUCAAAUUGAAUGCAUAAUUCAGUUUCAAUUGGAAUUCAAAUCACAAAUCAGAUUGAACACAAUUCAAGUUCAAUUCAAAUAAAUUUGAAUGCAUAAUUUGAAUUCAGUUCACAUCAAAUGAACGUAAUUCAAAUUAAUUUCAAAUCAAAAUUAACGCAUAAUUUCAAAUUCAUUUCAAAUUAAUUUGAACACAAUUCAAAUUCAUUUCAUAUCAAAUUAAACGCAUAAUUCGAAUUCAUUUCAAAUAAAAUUUAACGCAUAAUUCGAAUUCAGUUCACAUCUAAUUGAAGGCAUGAUUCUGAUUCAGUUUGCGUCACAAAUCAAAUUGUACACAUAAUUCAAAUUCAUUUCACAUCAAAUUGAACGCAUAAUUCAAAUUUUUCACAUCAGAUUGAACGCAUAAUUCGAAUUCAGUUCACAUCAAAUUAAAGGCAUUAUUCUGAUUCGAUUCGCGUCACAAAUCAAAUUGAACACAAUUCAAAUCACAAAUCAAAUUGAAUGCACCAUUAAAAUUCAGUUCAUAUUCAAAUCAAAUUAAAUGCAUAAUUCAAAUUUGAAUUCACUCCAGAUUUUUCAACCAUGACCUCCCAUUGGCUGGAUGAACAUGAUCAGAUUAACGCUGUCAGAAGAUUGUUUUUUUUUAUUGAAUGCACAAUUCAGAUUCAGCAUUUAGGGCCGGCGAGUGACUGGCGCGUCGUGUCCCCUGCACCGUCUGCUCUCACUACUAAACGAGUGAAACACUGGGAGAUCUGAGGGGUGAACGUCCGAGACUUCAUCCCGUCAGACACGCCUCCUUCCCUCCUCUUCCUCCCUUUUUUCAUCGCACACUGACUGCAGCUGCGCUGUGUUUGGUGAUCAUUAAACCAGUCACAUUAAAAUCUAGUGGUAAAAUUGAUGUCCUUCUGAAUGAGAUCUUGAAAUUGUUUGAUUGUUUCUGGUUUGUUUUUCAAGAAAAAAAAAGAAUAAUUGUAAAAAAAAGAAAUUUGCCAAAAAAAAAAAGAUUUUUUUUUUUUGUUGUCAAUAUUAAAGUAAUGCAAAAAAGAAUAGUUGUAACUAUGUAGUGCAUGAUAGAAAAAAUGAUGGAAAAACUAUUUGGAUCUUGGUCUUUUCUCACUUAGAGACAUUUUAGCAGGGUUAAACAGUAACUUGUGAAAAUGUGAUUUGAGUUGCACAAAAAAAUGAUAAACUCAAUUGGCUUCUGCUUUGAUACAACUUAAACUCAAUUAAACGGAUCCAUGCUUUUACUUCAAUAUUUUUUUUAUCAGCGGUGGCUGUCGAUGUACAUUUACUGUCUUUGUUUUCGUUCUAUGCAUUUCAGAGAUUUAUUUACUCCUUUAUAAACAGCUAUUUAAUUUUGAUUUUCCAUUGGACUCGUGGUUGUGUGUGUUUUUUAAGCGGGUGUUCUGGGGCGGGCGGGUUUUCGGGUCGUUCUCUGUAUGUUUGUAUCCAGUCGGUUUUGUGUUCUCCGAUCACUCUUGUGUCCACCGAUGUAGAAAACGUCUCUCUCUUCUUCAUUUCUCCUCUCAGUUUUCGUUCUUUGCUGCAGAAACAGAUGCAGCACUGCAGGGUGAAGCUGCACAGUAUCCACUGAGAGAUAAACGCCUUCAUCUCACUGCAAAAUCAAAAGAAAACAGCCAGGAAGAUUGUUUUGCAUUGCAACAUUAUAUUUUAUUUCACCCCCAAAUUGUCAUUAGCCUACUGUAAUACAACAAAACAUUGAAAUUUAUUAUAUUAUUUAAAGGAGAUAUAUGUUAGAAUUUUCAUUUUAAUCACCUUUUAAUGCCAAUGUGUGAACAGCUAGUAUCGAAACUUAAAAAACGAGACCUUCCCCGACUUCCUGUGUUGUCUAUGAAAGCCUGUAGACUAAUGUUUAUGUGAAGGACUCGGGACGGUUUUGCCGGGAAAAUCAAAAGGAUGUGACGGUUACGCGCUCGCGAGAGCCUCGAACCAAUGCUUAUGUUCAGGAUAAUGUCGAAAGAGCCGCUCUGUACUGUAAUGUCAACGUGUCAUGCAAAGGGGAUUAAUUCAAACUAUAGACCUUAUGCAACGUGCGCGCAGCCAUUUUGAGAAUUUUGUCUUCGAACUUCCGUUUUUGCGGUAGCUUUGUAGCCUAUAUUUCUAUGGCAUCGCUGUCAAAGAAUAAUUAGCUGGUGAAGUGGAUUUACUUACCGUACAGUUGACAAAAGUUAUCAUGAGCACUGUAAAACACGUCUUAACAAAUGUCAGUAGACCGGGAAGAUUUUAAAACGAACAGUUCAUUCAUAAGUAAGAUCGCUGUGGAAAUACAAACCGGAAGUCAAAAGCUGAAAAGGGGCGUGGCUACAUAUAAGUCUCGCUUAGUCAGGUCUAUAGUCUACAGUCUCAAAUAUACUUUAUAAUCAAACUAUCAUACCAGUGUGAUUUAAAUUACCUCAUCUUGAAUCGCAAACAUAUCCACAUCGCUAUGAUCAGAUGCUUUCUGAAGUGCUGUUUUCAGUCAUGUUUGUUGUGUUUAUCUUGUUAUUGAGAGGAAAGCGAAUAUUUACAUUUACAUAUUCAUCUAAACAUCGCUGUUGGAUGGCGUCAGGAUUAGUGCGAGCACGAGCAAUAAGUUGCAGCUGCAGUUCACUUAACAGCCACAGGUGUCGCUAAUAACAAGGGUUUCUGAAUUUUACAGUAUAGCCCCAUUAAAUUAUUUAUCAUGGUCAUAUUUGUACUGAACUGAUUUAAUGCUAAUUUAUUAUUUUUUAUUAUGUGCUUAAUUGACAUGAAAAUAAUGUGGCAAUGCAAUAAAUAUGAAUGGCUCUAAGAAUAGGCUUAAUUUUCUUCAUGCAACAUAUUAUUUAAUUUUUCUUUUGAUUUUGGGGUCAAAUCUGAGUUGGAGGAGAUUCUAAUCUGUUCUGAUGCAUCGAGCAUCACGUUUGUCUCACACCUCUUGUUGCGUUUGUUGUAGCCAAUUCUAGAAAGUGUCUCAUGACCGAAUGUGUGGCUGGUUAUCAGGUUACUAGUAUAAACUGAUGGUUAUUAUUGUGUGGCAUCCAGAAUCUGGUGUGACCAGUGUGAAAUGAUUUACAGGUUCAUAAUCCAUAAUCAACCCAUCUAAUGAAUGUCAAUCAAUCGUUUACAGAAUCAUCUCAGUGAUGACCGUCACUCAUUCACACGGCCAGUUCUCAGAUCAGUGAUGCAUCAUGGGUAAUUAUCGGUGUGGGUUGCUGUGGUUAGAGAUGCUGAAUGGUCUACAGAUGGUGAUGAGGUUCUUUCAGUGGCAUUUUUCUGUGUAUCAUUUGCCUUGACUGGAUAACAACUGCGCUUUCUACACUGUAUUCCAUUAAUAAAGUUUUGAAUGUACAUACAGA